ACCAUCAAUUGAUGGGUAUUUUAAAGUACCAAUCCACAUUAGUAUGUUUCCGAAUAAUUAUGUUUCGUGUUAAUGUAUAUGCGUGUUGGAACGGAAAGCGAAAUUUCAACCAUGUUUCUACAAUUGAUGAUGCUCUGCAUAAUUUACAGUACCCACGCCCAGAAAUCGUGGCAGACAGUGUGCAAGCACAAUGCGACUGGAUCUUAUUAUUAUUGUGGGAUAAUGAAAGAGUGUUGUUACAUCAAUGGUAAAUUAAAAUGCCUGGGCACAAUUGGUGAAUUUGGCAGUUGGUACAUCCCUCGAAAAUGUAAUGUUUAUAAAAGGUCCACAUCUUAUUACAAGACCACGACACCACGACAUCUGAUGAAGACAACUACUUUACCAGCCUACAUCAAGACAACAUACAACCGACGACGAAGAACUAGAAACAUGAACAGGAUGACCAUUCGUCGAAUUGGAACAAACACACAGUCUAGGGGAUUUCCAAGAUAUACAAGAAGCACAACGGGAUACAGAUAUACAGAAUACACACUUUCUUCCAAGGAGCAACUUUUUACAAUUCUUCCGGCGUAAGAAAGUGUAUACUAACUUUAAAACGUAGUAAUAGUAGUUGCAAUGAUAAUUAUCAUCUGUAUGUGUUGCUCUGUAUACAACGAUAGGAAACAACAUAAGAUGAGACUAAGAAAUAGAAGACGUAGACAACAAUCAAGAGCCUUACAACUAACAAAUGAACAACAACAUUAUCGCAUUAUAGGUUUGUACUAUGUCAAUGGGAAUGCAGCUGCCGUUGUUGCUUCUCCAAGGACGCAACUGGAGUAUGGAGCCGAUUGGGAAAGGCUUGUCAAUUCUACCCAAAACGGUACAACAUCUAUACCCACUGAUAAUCCACCAGCAUAUGAAAAUAUCAUCAAUGGAAACACAGCCGCUAUUGAUUCAUAUCAUCCAAGGACACACACAAGAGACGACGAGGAAAGGAACACCAAUUAUAUACCAAAUAACGGUACUAUAACUAAUUUACCUGAUGAUACAAGAUAUAUACCCACUAAUAAUCCACCACCAUACGAAGAUAUUAUGAAUUAAAAUGCAGCCGCUAUUGUUUCGUAUAAUCCAGACACACACAGGAGACGACGAGGAAAGGCUUGCCAAUUAUAUAGCAAAUAACGGUACUGUAACUAAUUUGUGAGACGAAACAACAUCGACAACAACAAUAAAUGCCCCAGCAUACGAAGAUUAUAUGUAUAGAAAUAACGAGUGCAUACUUUUAUAUUUUUGCAUUUGUACAUAGUUUGUCUUAUCACCUAGUUUUGUGAGCCAUUUACUUGAAUAAAAUUAUCUUUGAACUAUAAAA
RNA transcript from Mytilus californianus (California mussel), 1348 nucleotides. RefSeq lists it as uncharacterized. The transcript has 6 exons. The record is from RefSeq and is a predicted model, not a curated record. Lineage: Eukaryota; Metazoa; Mollusca; Bivalvia; Mytilida; Mytilidae.